GGAGUUAGCCGGUGCUUCUUCUGUGAGUGAUGUCCUUCCUGCCGGCUAUUAACCCGCAGGCCUUCUUCCUCACUGAAAGUGCUUUACAACCCGAAGGCCUUCUUCACACACGCGGCAUGGCUGGAUCAGGGUUGCCCCCAUUGUCCAAUAUUCCCCACUGCUGCCUCCCGUAGGAGUCUGGGCCGUGUCUCAGUCCCAGUGUGGCUGAUCAUCCUCUCAGACCAGCUACGGAUCGUCGCCUUGGUGAGCCGUUACCUCACCAACCAGCUAAUCCGACAUAGGCUCAUCCGAUAGCGCGAGGCCCGAAGGUCCCCCGCUUUCCCCCGUAGGCGUAUGCGGUAUUAGCCUGGGUUUCCCCCAGGGUUAUCCCCCACUACCGGGCAGAUUCCUAUGCAUUACUCACCCGUCCGCCGCUCGCCACCAGGGAGCAAGCUCCCCGUGCUGCCGCUCGACUUGCAUGUGUAGCNCGCCGCCACGCGUCAUCUGACAAGAUACAAUUACUGA
This 504-nucleotide ribosomal RNA is filed under the name uncultured bacterium. RNAcentral describes it as "partial 16S ribosomal RNA". The record is from RNAcentral.